Molecule: ribosomal RNA, 522 nt
Filed under: uncultured bacterium
Lineage: Bacteria
Description: bacterial SSU rRNA
Rfam family: Bacterial small subunit ribosomal RNA
Source: RNAcentral
AGAGUUUGAUCCUGGCUCAGAUUGAACGCUGGCGGCAGGCCUAACACAUGCAAGUCGAGCGGAUGAGAAGAGCUUGCUCUUCGAUUCAGCGGCGGACGGGUGAGUAAUGCCUAGGAAUCUGCCUGGUAGUGGGGGACAACGUUUCGAAAGGAACGCUAAUACCGCAUACGUCCUACGGGAGAAAGCAGGGGACCUUCGGGCCUUGCGCUAUCAGAUGAGCCUAGGUCGGAUUAGCUAGUUGGUGAGGUAAUGGCUCACCAAGGCUACGAUCCGUAACUGGUCUGAGAGGAUGAUCAGUCACACUGGAACUGAGACACGGUCCAGACUCCUACGGGAGGCAGCAGUGGGGAAUAUUGGACAAUGGGCGAAAGCCUGAUCCAGCCAUGCCGCGUGUGUGAAGAAGGUCUUCGGAUUGUAAAGCACUUUAAGUUGGGAGGAAGGGCGGUAAGCUAAUAUCUUGCUGUUUUGACGUUACCGACAGAAUAAGCACCGGCUAACUCUGUGCCAGCAGCCGCGGUAAUA